GGGCUGCCCAAGGUCUGGGUGGAGACUCUGGCCCCCUUUGCAGUUACCUGGAGCCUUCCCUCAGCUCAACCCUGCUGUGCACCCUGCAACUCAACAGGGAAAUCGUGACUAUCGUGGUAUUUGGCGUGGAGUACUUCGUGCGGAUCUGGGCCGCAGGCUGCUGCUGCCGGUACCGUGGC
RNAcentral lists this small RNA (179 nucleotides) under Pongo abelii (Sumatran orangutan). RNAcentral's name for it is "processed transcript". Lineage: Eukaryota; Metazoa; Chordata; Mammalia; Primates; Hominidae. The record is from RNAcentral.